UACGAAGGGGGCUAGCGUUGCUCGGAAUCACUGGGCGUAAAGGGUGCGUAGGCGGGUCUUUAAGUCAGAGGUGAAAUCCUGGAGCUCAACUCCAGAACUGCCUUUGAUACUGAGGAUCUUGAGUUCGGGAGAGGUGAGUGGAACUGCGAGUGUAGAGGUGAAAUUCGUAGAUAUUCGCAAGAACACCAGUGGCGAAGGCGGCUUACUGGUCCGGUUCUGACGCUGAGGCGCGAAAAGCGUGGGGGAGCAAACAGG
This 255-nucleotide ribosomal RNA is filed under the name uncultured bacterium. Its description in RNAcentral is "partial 16S ribosomal RNA". It matches the Rfam family "Bacterial small subunit ribosomal RNA", at positions 524 to 776 of the family's 1533-position model. The record is from RNAcentral.